Molecule: long non-coding RNA, 1157 nt
Filed under: Anser brachyrhynchus (Pink-footed goose)
Lineage: Eukaryota; Metazoa; Chordata; Aves; Anseriformes; Anatidae
Description: lncRNA (ENSABRG00000019501.1)
Source: RNAcentral
GAGAAUUGUGACAGCAACAGAUGUCCCCAUCCCGGCGAGUGGUGAGCUACCGCUUUUGUCUGCAGAAGGAUGCAGCUCGUAUUUACCUGCUUGUAUGGCCAGUGGUUCUUGUGCUGUCUGUCCUGACCCUUUGGCUGGCAUGGGGCAUCGUGGUCACAUAGUGAGAGGCACAACCGAACGCCGUCCCAUUUUCUGUUAGUUUUUUCUGCUGGACCAACUCUGCAGAGCGGGUUGCUGCUGCCUGGUUGCGCAAGGUCUGCAGCCAGCGCAAGGAGAAACACUGGUGGCUGUGGUCAGGAGAGGAAACGAGGCUGGGACCACAGCAGCUGUGAUUUAUGUACACUUACCUCGCUGCGGAACAAAACCACUAAUGAUUUUAGCCCUCUUGUCAGCCCAGCGCCAUGCCACCUGCGUAUUGGGACAGCCUGGUCUGGAGCAAGGCUUGCACACCAGCGUGGCAGCCUGCGGGACGAGCUGCCUGCCCGCAUCUGCUGGCAGCCUUCUCGGUGAGGGAGAGCAGCUUUGGUGGGCAGGCUGCUGCUCACGCGGACGUGGGCUCCAUCACCCGGGUCCCCAGAGCGCCUGGCCUCCAUCCCGGCUGGAUUCUUCCCUUGUCCAGGCCCGUCGCUCUCUCCAGGUGGAGGAACUGGACAAUGAGUACAGGUAGGAAGGACGCUACCUCUGAUGCACACAUAAGACAGGAGCGGAUCGGAUCCCAGCCCAUUCAAGGUUUUCCACAUUCCUGUGUUUUCUGCAUGUCACAAACAGGCAGCCGCAUGGUGAGAUUUGAUUAAGACAAGAUGAAGAAGCAUUUAAAAUUAGGGGUGUACGUCCACCAGUGCAAUAUCCUUCUCAAAUAGGCCAGGUUGAACGGCAACAAGGAUCAUCACUAGAAUUGCUACCCAGAGUGAACUCAUCCUGGACAUGUUACUUAAGCCGAUGGCAGGCAUGGGCUAACCCUACAUUUCAGGCAAGGUGGACUCCAGUGAUUUAAUCAAACAGUUAGUAACUGCUCUUAAAUUGGUGUAGACUUCCAAGUUAGUUGCAGCUUUAGGAACAAAUGUAUUUUUUUAGAAUUUGCCUUCUACUGAAACACACUUCUUCAAACCCUUCAUUGAUGGUAUAGCUGAGAAAAGAAUCGAGGAAUUGCACUGUAU